Molecule: ribosomal RNA, 388 nt
Filed under: Dicrocoelium dendriticum
Lineage: Eukaryota; Metazoa; Platyhelminthes; Trematoda; Plagiorchiida; Dicrocoeliidae
Description: LSU rRNA
Rfam family: Eukaryotic large subunit ribosomal RNA
Source: RNAcentral
UGGAGUCGGGUUGUUUGUGAAUGCAGCCCAAAGUGGGUGGUAAACUCCAUCCAAGGCUAAAUACAAGCACGAGUCCGAUAGCGAACAAGUACCGUGAGGGAAAGUUGAAAAGUACUUUGAAGAGAGAGUUAACAGUGCGUGAAACCGCUCAGAGGUAAGCAGGUGGAGUUGAACUGCAAGCUUUGAGAAUUCAGCUGGUGAGGUUGGUUUGGGCUUGGUCAAAUUGGUUGGGCCCCGAAGUACGUUAAACCACGUGUCCUUUCCCUUUGGGUUGGGAUGUGCGAUACACUUACCAAGUGUUGCACGCUUUGGGUGUUCAUCGAGCCUCCUUGUCAGUGCACUUUCUCAGAGUGGUCACCACGACCGACGCCGCUGUCAGGCUGUCAUA